Rhodoferax antarcticus ANT.BR is the source of this 106-nucleotide non-coding RNA. NCBI's taxonomy places the organism in Bacteria, Pseudomonadati, Pseudomonadota, Betaproteobacteria, Burkholderiales, Comamonadaceae. The record is from Rfam.
GCCUCAUGCCUGAAAGGGCGACAGUGCAAACUGGAGCGAGAAGUCAGCAGAGGCCGUAGUAGUCGUAGGCGAAACCCACAACGGGAGAAGACCGAAGGCGAAGGGC